UUAUAAUCUACUUCUGUUUAAAUUGGAAAUUGUAGUACAAAUAUUACUGGCCUACCCCCCCAAUAAUUAUGCUUCCUGAGUUAAUUUGGUUAAUUUGUUUAAGUUUGAUUCUUGCUUUAUUUUUAAUUAUUUUAAUUGAUUUAUAUAUUUAUUUAUAUUAAUUUUUAUUUUAUAGUAAGUAGUAUUUUUAUAUUUGCUGAGGCAAAUUGAGUAAUUUAUUAUUAGAGUUGAUAAAUUCUGUGCCAGCAUUCGCGGUUAUACAGUUAACUUAAGUUAAAUUUUUUGGUUCUUUAUUAAUUUGUUAAUUUUAGAAGUUUUUAUUUUGUUAUUUAGGUGAAAUUUAUAGUUAUUUUUUAUUCUUAAUUUAAUUAAUUGUACUUUUAUAAUUCAAAAUAGGAUUAGAUACCCUUUUAUGUUUAAAUUUAAUAUUAGCUUGAAUAAAAGUAGUUUUUACUUCAUAACUCAAAGAAUUUGGCGGUUAAUUUUAUUUUCAGAGGAACCUGUGUGUUAAUUGAUAAACCACGAUAGUUUAUACUUUCUAUUUACUUAUAUAUCUCUAUUUAAUGAUUGUUUUUAUAGAAAAUUAUUUUCUUUUAGUUUUAUCAAUUAUGUUAGGUCAAGGUGUAGUUUUUAGAAUAGUUUACAUGGGUUACUUUAGUUUUAAUUUUAAUUAAAGUUUUAUUAUUUUUAAAGUUUUUUUUAGGAUUUGAAAGUAAUUUUUAUUAAUUUGUCAUUUUGAAUAUUUUUUAAAAUUAGUGUACAUAUUGCCCGUCACUCCUAUUUUAGGAUAAGUCGUAACAUAGUAACCCCACCGGAAGGUGGGGUUAGAGGAUG
Molecule: non-coding RNA, 834 nt
Filed under: Antialcidas floripennae
Lineage: Eukaryota; Metazoa; Arthropoda; Insecta; Hemiptera; Membracidae
Source: RNAcentral